GAGCGGUAGCACAGAGAGCUUGCUCUCGGGUGACGAGCGGCGGACGGGUGAGUAAUGUCUGGGAAACUGCCUGAUGGAGGGGGAUAACUACUGGAAACGGUAGCUAAUACCGCAUAACGUCGCAAGACCAAAGUGGGGGACCUUCGGGCCUCAUGCCAUCAGAUGUGCCCAGAUGGGAUUAGCUAGUAGGUGGGGUAACGGCUCACCUAGGCGACGAUCCCUAGCUGGUCUGAGAGGAUGACCAGCCACACUGGAACUGAGACACGGUCCAGACUCCUACGGGAGGCAGCAGUGGGGAAUAUUGCACAAUGGGCGCAAGCCUGAUGCAGCCAUGCCGCGUGUGUGAAGAAGGCCUUCGGGUUGUAAAGCACUUUCAGCGGGGAGGAAGGCGUUAAGGUUAAUAACCUUGGCGAUUGACGUUACCCGCAGAAGAAGCACCGGCUAACUCCGUGCCAGCAGCCGCGGUAAUACGGAGGGUGCAAGCGUUAAUCGGAAUUACUGGGCGUAAAGCGCACGCAGGCGGUCUGUCAAGUCGGAUGUGAAAUCCCCGGGCUCAACCUGGGAACUGCAUUCGAAACUGGCAGGCUAGAGUCUUGUAGAGGGGGGUAGAAUUCCAGGUGUAGCGGUGAAAUGCGUAGAGAUCUGGAGGAAUACCGGUGGCGAAGGCGGCCCCCUGGACAAAGACUGACGCUCAGGUGCGAAAGCGUGGGGAGCAAACAGGAUUAGAUACCCUGGUAGUCCACGCCGUAAACGAUGUCGAUUUGGAGGUUGUGCCCUUGAGGCGUGGCUUCCGGAGCUAACGCGUUAAAUCGACCGCCUGGGGAGUACGGCCGCAAGGUUAAAACUCAAAUGAAUUGACGGGGGCCCGCACAAGCGGUGGAGCAUGUGGUUUAAUUCGAUGCAACGCGAAGAACCUUACCUGGUCUUGACAUCCACAGAACUUUCCAGAGAUGGAUUGGUGCCUUCGGGAACUGUGAGACAGGUGCUGCAUGGCUGUCGUCAGCUCGUGUUGUGAAAUGUUGGGUUAAGUCCCGCAACGAGCGCAACCCUUAUCCUUUGUUGCCAGCGGUCCGGCCGGGAACUCAAAGGAGACUGCCAGUGAUAAACUGGAGGAAGGUGGGGAUGACGUCAAGUCAUCAUGGCCCUUACGACCAGGGCUACACACGUGCUACAAUGGCAUAUACAAAGAGAAGCGACCUCGCGAGAGCAAGCGGACCUCAUAAAGUAUGUCGUAGUCCGGAUUGGAGUCUGCAACUCGACUCCAUGAAGUCGGAAUCGCUAGUAAUCGUAGAUCAGAAUGCUACGGUGAAUACGUUCCCGGGCCUUGUACACACCGCCCGUCACACCAUGGGAGUGGGUUGCAAAAGAAGUAGGUAGC
RNAcentral lists this ribosomal RNA (1378 nucleotides) under Klebsiella pneumoniae. RNAcentral describes it as "bacterial SSU rRNA". It matches the Rfam family "Bacterial small subunit ribosomal RNA", at positions 64 to 1434 of the family's 1533-position model. Lineage: Bacteria; Pseudomonadati; Pseudomonadota; Gammaproteobacteria; Enterobacterales; Enterobacteriaceae. The record is from RNAcentral.